RNAcentral lists this ribosomal RNA (247 nucleotides) under uncultured bacterium. RNAcentral describes it as "partial 16S ribosomal RNA". It matches the Rfam family "Bacterial small subunit ribosomal RNA", at positions 530 to 776 of the family's 1533-position model. The record is from RNAcentral.
GGGUGCAAGCGUUAUCCGGAUUCACUGGGUUUAAAGGGUGCGUAGGUGGGUCUGUAAGUCAGUGGUGAAAUCUCCGGGCUUAACCCGGAAACUGCCAUUGAUACUAUAGGUCUUGAAUUAUCUGGAGGUCAGCGGAAUAUGUCAUGUAGCGGUGAAAUGCUUAGAUAUGACAUAGAACACCAAUUGCGAAGGCAGCUGGCUACAGGUAUAUUGACACUGAGGCACGAAAGCGUGGGGAUCAAACAGG